AACGAACGCUGGCGGCAUGCCUAACACAUGCAAGUCGAACGAGACCUUCGGGUCUAGUGGCGCACGGGUGCGUAACGCGUGGGAACCUGCCCUUAGGUUCGGAAUAACUCCCCGAAAGGGGUGCUAAUACCGGAUAAUUUCUUCGGACCAAAGAUUUAUCGCCUUUGGAUGGGCCGGCGUUGUAUUAGCUUGUUGUUAGGGUAAAAGCCUACCAAGGCGACGAUCCAUAGCUGGUCUGAGAGGAUGAUCAUCCACACUGGGACUGAGACACGGCCCAGACUCCUACGGGAAGCAGCAGUGGGGAAUAUUGGAAAAUGGGCGAAAGCCUGAACCAGCAAUGACGCGUGAGUGAUGAAGGCCUUAGGGUUGUAAAGCUCUUUUACCCGGGAUGAUAAUGACAGUACCGGGAGAAUAAGCUCCGGCUAACUCCGUG
This 433-nucleotide ribosomal RNA is filed under the name uncultured bacterium. RNAcentral describes it as "partial 16S ribosomal RNA". It matches the Rfam family "Bacterial small subunit ribosomal RNA", at positions 29 to 507 of the family's 1533-position model. The record is from RNAcentral.